GACGGGUGGGGCUAGCGUUGUUCGGAAUUACUGGGCGUAAAGGGCGCGUAGGCGGCCAAUUAAGUUAGACGUGAAAGCCUCAGGCUUAACCUGAGAAUAGCGUUUAAUACUGGUUGGCUCGAGUAUGGUAGAGGAAAGCGGAAUUCCUAGUGUAGAGGUGAAAUUCGUAGAUAUUAGGAAGAACACCAGAGGCGAAGGCGGCUUUCUGGACCAUUACUGACGCUGAGGCGCGAAAGCGUGGGGAGCAAACAGG
Molecule: ribosomal RNA, 253 nt
Filed under: uncultured bacterium
Lineage: Bacteria
Description: partial 16S ribosomal RNA
Rfam family: Bacterial small subunit ribosomal RNA
Source: RNAcentral